This 422-nucleotide ribosomal RNA is filed under the name uncultured bacterium. RNAcentral's name for it is "bacterial SSU rRNA". It matches the Rfam family "Bacterial small subunit ribosomal RNA", at positions 361 to 776 of the family's 1533-position model. The record is from RNAcentral.
AUCUUCCACAAUGGGCGCAAGCCUGAUGGAGCAACGCCGCGUGAGUGAGGAAGGCUUUCGGGUCGUAAAGCUCUGUUGCCAGGGAAGAACGCUUCGGGGAGUAACUGCCCUGAAGGUGACGGUACCUGAGAAGAAAGCCCCGGCUAACUACGUGCCAGCAGCCGCGGUAAUACGUAGGGGGCAAGCGUUGUCCGGAAUUAUUGGGCGUAAAGCGCGCGCAGGCGGUCUUUUAAGUCUGGUGUCUAAGUGCGGGGCUCAACCCCGUGAUGCACUGGAAACUGGGAGACUUGAGUGCAGAAGAGGAGAGCGGAAUUCCACGUGUAGCGGUGAAAUGCGUAGAGAUGUGGAGGAACACCAGUGGCGAAGGCGGCUCUCUGGCCUGUAACUGACGCUGAGGCGCGAAAGCGUGGGGAGCAAACAGG